Vicia faba (fava bean) is the source of this 234-nucleotide non-coding RNA. Lineage: Eukaryota; Viridiplantae; Streptophyta; Magnoliopsida; Fabales; Fabaceae. The record is from the annotation of a GenBank genome assembly.
AUGACCCGUGAUUCCGUGAAUCUCACUCCCUUACAACGGGCAAAAUAUGCUGCUUAUUUUCUCCGAACUGAUUCUGUAGCAUUUUUCGUUCCGCUAGUGUUUUUUACUUAUCUUUUCUUGUUGAAAGUAAAGUUGUUCCGAAUGCGAUUCUUGCUGCGAGAGCUUUUCGAUUUUGAUUUUCGCAUCAGGAUAAUUGUUCUGGAACUUUGUUUGCUCUUUGAUUACUCCCACUAA